Molecule: transfer RNA, 72 nt
Filed under: Pastinachus ater (banana tail ray)
Lineage: Eukaryota; Metazoa; Chordata; Chondrichthyes; Myliobatiformes; Dasyatidae
Description: tRNA-Trp
Rfam family: tRNA
About the family: Transfer RNA (tRNA) molecules are approximately 80 nucleotides in length. Their secondary structure includes four short double-helical elements and three loops (D, anti-codon, and T loops).
Source: RNAcentral
AGAAAUUUAGGUUAAAACCUAAACCAAAAGCCUUCAAAGCUUUAAACAAGAGUGAAAGUCUCUUAAUUUCUG